RNA transcript from Phlebotomus papatasi, 2816 nucleotides. It is a transcript of the gene named histone-lysine N-methyltransferase Su(var)3-9, with no coding region annotated. The record is from RefSeq and is a predicted model, not a curated record. Lineage: Eukaryota; Metazoa; Arthropoda; Insecta; Diptera; Psychodidae. The transcript is spliced from 4 exons.
AAUCAGCCAUUUUUCUCGUACCCACUCCACUCGAGUUGAUUUUCUCGUGAUAUCGCUCGGCAAAAGUGAACAAUUUCUGGUGUUAAUUCUGUGCAAAAUACCAUCAAGAUGGCAACAACAGAAGGACAAACGACGGGGCAGCCAAAUCUGCAUAAACAGGACUUAGCCCAACUGGACAUCACAAAACUCACUCCAUUGUCUCCGGAGGUGAUUUCCCGACAGGCUACAAUUAAUAUUGGAACAAUUGGACAUGUAGCCCAUGGCAAAUCGACAGUGGUUAAGGCAAUCUCAGGAGUGCAGACUGUUCGGUUCAAGAAUGAACUUGAGAGGAAUAUCACAAUCAAAUUGGAGCGCAUAUCCAAUGAUACGAUCAAAGAAUUGACCACAUCAUCACAGAAAUUGCGGGCUUUCCUUAAGGAAAAUUACCCAGAAUGCUUGAAUGGGCGACAACAUGCCAAGAGACGCAGAUCGAGCAGUGUAAGUAGUAGUUCAUCAUCAGCCAAAAGGGUGAGGUACAACAGUAGCAAUUCCUCCCCAUAUUCCGUUGUUUCAAAAGCACACCGUGGUGUACUUAAGGAAAUCAAUGCCAGAAAGUCAUCGUAUACGGUGGAAGCGAUAAGGGAGAUAAAUGCUAUUGGCAAGAGCCCAGUGUUCAAUGUUAAAUGGGUUGGGUACAGUGAGAAGAAGAAUACAUGGGAGCCACUUGAACAUGUGAAAUCUUGUGCGGUGUUUGAAGAAUGGCUGGAGCAUGAAUUGGCGGAGAAUAAGGAGACAAUUGAGGAGAUUAUGAGGGAGAUUGAGACGAGUACUGAUGAACUGGAAGGUUUGGAAGAUCCAAAGACACGUACAAAAGUGAAUGAUACAAUGAUGGUUAAACUGUCAAAAUACGAUGGAUUUCUACUGGAUAGCUACCUUCUCCUCUUGGCACUUCAUCGGAUUACCGGUACGAGGAAUGCCAAGUUGACAAGGCAUAUGCAAAGUACAGCUAGGAAGCAGCUGGAACUGAGAAAGCUCCAUAGGGAUCGUCAGGAGCAACUAAAGGCGCUGGGAGAAUGGGAAGCAGAACUCAAUCGAAUUGACAAGUUUGGGGGAAUUAUGGUGGUCAAUGAAGUGGAUCUGGAGAUGCCACCGACAAAUUUUCACUAUAUCAACAAGAGUUUUGCCGGUGCCAAUAUCGAUAUCCCGGAUGAUCCUCUAAUUGGAUGCGAAUGUGAGGAUGGAUGCAAUGGACGAACACAGUGCUGUGGCAAGAUGUCCGGAUCCUCGCUGUUUGCCUACACCAAAAAACGCCUCAGACUGCCCGAAGGGACUCCAAUCUACGAAUGCAACCGAAGAUGCAAAUGUGGCGAAGAAUGCCCAAAUCGUGUGGCACAGAAUGGCAGAAAAUUCCGCCUGUGCAUCUUCAAAACUGAUAACGGACGCGGUUGGGGUGUCAGGACACUGGAAACAAUCUAUCCGGGACAAUUUAUUGGGGAAUAUGUGGGAGAGAUUAUUACCCAUGAUGAAGCUGAAACCCGUGGGCAGUUGUAUGAUGAAAGGGGUGUUACUUAUCUCUUCGAUUUGGACUUCAAUGGAGCCGAUCAACCCUAUUCGGUGGAUGCCAUUGAAUAUGGCAAUGCUACGCACUUCAUCAAUCACUCUUGUGAUCCAAAUUGCGGUGUCUGGGCCGUAUACGUGGAUUGUCUGGAUCCAAAUAUCCCUCAUUUGUGCCUCUUUGCCCUGAGACGCAUCGCAGCUGGGGAAGAACUCAGCUUUGACUACAUCAAAGGAGUUUCCGGGGAGGGUAAACAACUCGGAAGAUGCCUCUGUGGUACAGAGAAAUGCCGUCAAUUCGUCUUCUAGGAAAAAAAAAAACUGAAGAAGUGUUCAAAAAUCAAUUUCUAUAAAAAUAAUUGUGAAUGUUAGAAGAAGAAAACAUUAGUGUAAAUGUCCUAAUUCAAAACCAUUUCCAGACGCUUUAUCUUUGACAGAAGAUUCAUAUUUUUUCUAAAGAGAAUUACAUAAAUUUGCUCCUUGACUCUUCUAGAAUGCUACUGUUUAGUGAAAAUUCUUCAAAUAUAAUCUGAAAACUUCUUAAAUACAAGAAAAAUACGCGAGUGUAAAAUGCUUCUAUUGGAAACAAAUUAAUUCAAAUGGAGACAAGGGAAAUUUUCUAAUUGGAGACCAAUAAGUGUCAGUGAAACCGCGACGAAAAGCUUCCAAAACCUUGUUGAGUUGCUCCUGAGCGCAGAAUUUGUUCUUAUUCCUGGUCUUUUCGCUUUAUUUGGAGCAAAAUUAACUAAAUAUUGAAACUGUGGUAUAAAAAAUAUAAAAAUAUAGUAAUUCAGUACUGUAUUUAUUACGAAAACAGUAAGGUUUCCAUUUGGAAUAGCGAAAAAUUUCCAUUUGGAGCAGGUUUUGAAUUAGCUUAAUUUACCCUACACAUGUCUAGGAAUAUUUGAAGUUUUUUUUUUUAAUUUUGAAAAUAAAGUACAUUGAUGCCCAUUAUUUUGGCAAAAAAAAACCUAUGAGCAGUAAAAAAUUAAAUUUUGGUCAAUAAAAAACUUAAAUCUCAAAAAAUGGUUUAAUUUUCAAUAAUAUCCAAGAUGGUUACAGGAAAAAUUAAAAAAAAAAACUUGUUUCCUUCAUGAUGAUUUCACUGCAGACCAAUUUUAGCUUUUUACUGCUCAUUAAUACAGUGCCUAUUAUUAAAUAUUUGGCCUACCAAAAUUAUUUCAUUAUUUUAAAAAAUAUAAUAAAUCUGAAAUAAUAAUCGAAUUAAGAAAUAUGUUAUUUUUAAUACAGAAUCCCAGUCGAAAUAAAAUUUUCAAUAUAAA